CUCAGUAUCACUAUAUCGGUGUAUAGAUAGCAAUAUAUAGCGAUAGGGAUUAAAGCAAUCAGAGAAUGUAGUUCCUUGGACCCUUUCCCAUAUCCCUAUGUACAUCUAAAUAUCUCUAAGGUUUUUAGUAUCCCUGGAAUUCCCAUUUAAGUGUUAGACUCACCUGGGAGACUUUUUGACCAUGGCAGGUGAGCCAGCGCUAAUAUUACACCUUCCUGACUUGUCAAUAUAGGAUUCAUGUGGUGUA
Molecule: non-coding RNA, 247 nt
Organism: Pelobates cultripes (western spadefoot toad)
Lineage: Eukaryota; Metazoa; Chordata; Amphibia; Anura; Pelobatidae
Source: the annotation of a GenBank genome assembly